AUUGAACGCUGGCGGCAUGCCUUACACAUGCAAGUCGAACGGCAGCACGGGGCAACCUGGUGGCGAGUGGCGAACGGGUGAGUAAUGCAUCGGAACGUGCCAUUGAGUGGGGGAUAACGUAGCGAAAGUUGCGCUAAUACCGCAUAUUCUGUGAGCAGGAAAGCGGGGGACCGCAAGGCCUUGCGCUCUUUGAGCGGCCGAUGUCAGAUUAGCUAGUUGGUGAGGUAACGGCUUACCAAGGCGACGAUCUGUAGCGGGUCUGAGAGGAUGAUCCGCCACACUGGAACUGAGACACGGUCCAGACUCCUACGGGAGGCAGCAGUGGGGAAUUUUGGACAAUGGGCGCAAGCCUGAUCCAGCCAUGCCGCGUGAGUGAAGAAGGCCU
RNAcentral lists this ribosomal RNA (385 nucleotides) under uncultured bacterium. RNAcentral describes it as "bacterial SSU rRNA". It matches the Rfam family "Bacterial small subunit ribosomal RNA", at positions 30 to 417 of the family's 1533-position model. The record is from RNAcentral.